UAAGACGUAGGGCGCGAGCGUUGUCCGGAUUUAUUGGGCGUAAAGAGCUCGUAGGCGGCUUGUCGCGUCGUCUGUGAAAACCCGCGGCUCAACUGCGGGCUGGCAGUCGAUACGGGCAGGCUGGAGUUCGGUAGGGGAGACUGGAAUUCCUGGUGUAGCGGUGAAAUGCGCAGAUAUCAGGAGGAACACCGGUGGCGAAGGCGGGUCUCUGGGCCGAUACUGACGCUGAGGAGCGAAAGCGUGGGGAGCGAACAGGA
Molecule: ribosomal RNA, 257 nt
Filed under: uncultured prokaryote
Description: partial 16S ribosomal RNA
Rfam family: Bacterial small subunit ribosomal RNA
Source: RNAcentral